Molecule: ribosomal RNA, 572 nt
Filed under: Escherichia coli
Lineage: Bacteria; Pseudomonadati; Pseudomonadota; Gammaproteobacteria; Enterobacterales; Enterobacteriaceae
Description: bacterial LSU rRNA
Rfam family: Bacterial large subunit ribosomal RNA
Source: RNAcentral
GGGUUGUGAGGUUAAGCGACUAAGCGUACACGGUGGAUGCCCUGGCAGUCAGAGGCGAUGAAGGACGUGCUAAUCUGCGAUAAGCGUCGGUAAGGUGAUAUGAACCGUUAUAACCGGCGAUUUCCGAAUGGGGAAACCCAGUGUGUUUCGACACACUAUCAUUAACUGAAUCCAUAGGUUAAUGAGGCGAACCGGGGGAACUGAAACAUCUAAGUACCCCGAGGAAAAGAAAUCAACCGAGAUUCCCCCAGUAGCGGCGAGCGAACGGGGAGCAGCCCAGAGCCUGAAUCAGUGUGUGUGUUAGUGGAAGCGUCUGGAAAGGCGCGCGAUACAGGGUGACAGCCCCGUACACAAAAAUGCACAURYUGUGAGCUCGAUGAGUAGGGCGGGACACGUGGUAUCCUGUCUGAAUAUGGGGGGACCAUCCUCCAAGGCUAAAUACUCCUGACUGACCGAUAGUGAACCAGUACCGUGAGGGAAAGGCGAAAAGAACCCCGGCGAGGGGAGUGAAAAAGAACCUGAAACCGUGUACGUACAAGCAGUGGGAGCACGCUUAGGCGUGUGACUGCGUA